This 251-nucleotide ribosomal RNA is filed under the name uncultured prokaryote. RNAcentral describes it as "partial 16S rRNA". It matches the Rfam family "Bacterial small subunit ribosomal RNA", at positions 525 to 775 of the family's 1533-position model. The record is from RNAcentral.
ACGUAGGGAGCGAGCGUUGUCCGGAAUUACUGGGCGUAAAGGGCGCGUAGGCGGGUAUUUAAGUCAGAUGUGAAAACUCCGGGCUCAACCUGGAGACUGCAUUUGAAACUGAGUAUCUUGAGGGCAGGAGAGGAAAGUGGAAUUCCUAGUGUAGCGGUGAAAUGCGUAGAUAUUAGGAGGAACACCAGUGGCGAAGGCGACUUUCUGGACUGUACCUGACGCUGAGGCGCGAAAGCGUGGGGAGCGAACGG